GCAUCGGUGGUUUAGUGGUAAAAUUAGCCGUUGCCAUCCUAAGGUUCGACGUCGGCUAGCCCCGGGUUCGAUUCCCGGCCGAUGCA
Westerdykella ornata is the source of this 86-nucleotide non-coding RNA. NCBI's taxonomy places the organism in Eukaryota, Fungi, Ascomycota, Dothideomycetes, Pleosporales, Sporormiaceae. The record is from the annotation of a RefSeq genome assembly.